AUGAGGGCUUUAUUCUGGAAUAUAAGGGGGUUCGGUGCUAGGGGGCGCCAUGACCAACUUAAAGAUUUGGUUCGUUCUAACUCUAUUGAUUUUGUGGGGCUGGUUGAAACUUUUAAGGAUUCCUUCUCCCCUAGUGAGCUCUCUGCUAUCGUGGGUAUGGAUAGAUUUCAUUGGCAAUUCUUACCUGCUUCGGGACACUCUGGCGGGAUUUUGAUUGGCUCUAAUAAGGAUAUUUUUGAUUUCAUUGCUUUUGAUCAUGGGUUUUUUUGGGCUAGUGUUGUUCUGUCUCACAAAUCUAUGAAUACCCUCUGUGAGUACAUCGUUGUUUAUGGGCUUGCGGACCACUCUCUGUCGAAACUUUUCCUUAAUGAACUCUCGACCAAGAUUGAGUCUUGUACUUUACCGAUGGUUAUUGGGGGAGACUUUAACUUGCUG
This 435-nucleotide ribosomal RNA is filed under the name Triticum aestivum (bread wheat). Its description in RNAcentral is "partial small subunit ribosomal RNA". Lineage: Eukaryota; Viridiplantae; Streptophyta; Magnoliopsida; Poales; Poaceae. The record is from RNAcentral.